UAGGGAAUCUUCCGCAAUGGACGCAAGUCUGACGGAGCAACGCCGCGUGAGUGAAGAAGGAUUUCGGUUCGUAAAACUCUGUUGUUAGAGAAGAACAGCGCAUAGAGUAACUGUUAUGCGUGUGACGGUAUCUAACCAGAAAGCCACGGCUAACUACGUGCCAGCAGCCGCGGUAAUACGUAGGUGGCAAGCGUUGUCCGGAUUUAUUGGGCGUAAAGCGAGCGCAGGCGGUCAAUUAAGUCUGAUGUGAAAGCCCCCGGCUCAACCGGGGAGGGUCAUUGGAAACUGGUUGACUUGAGUGCAGAAGAGGAGAGUGGAAUUCCAUGUGUAGCGGUGAAAUGCGUAGAUAUAUGGAGGAACACCAGUGGCGAAGGCGACUCUCUGGUCUGUAACUGACGCUGAGGGUCGAAAGCGUGGGUAGCAAACAGG
This 429-nucleotide ribosomal RNA is filed under the name Bacteroidota bacterium. RNAcentral describes it as "Bacteroidetes bacterium partial 16S ribosomal RNA". It matches the Rfam family "Bacterial small subunit ribosomal RNA", at positions 355 to 776 of the family's 1533-position model. Lineage: Bacteria; Pseudomonadati; Bacteroidota. The record is from RNAcentral.